RNAcentral lists this ribosomal RNA (417 nucleotides) under uncultured eukaryote. Its description in RNAcentral is "SSU rRNA". It matches the Rfam family "Eukaryotic small subunit ribosomal RNA", at positions 567 to 990 of the family's 1831-position model. The record is from RNAcentral.
CCAGCAGCCGCGGUAAUUCCAGCUCCAAUAGCGUAUAUUUAAGUUGUUGCAGUUAAAAAGCUCGUAGUUGGAUUUCGGGUGGGUUCCAGCGGUCCGCCUAUGGUGAGUACUGCUGUGGCCCUCCUUUCUGUCGGAGACGCGCUCCUGGGCUUCAUUGUCCGGGACGUGGGUUUCGACGUUGAUACUUUGAGUAAAUUAGAGUGUUCAAAGCAAGCCUACGCUCUGAAUACUUUAGCAUGGAAUAUCGCGAUAGGACUCUGGCCUAUCUCGUUGGUCUGUAGGACCGGAGUAAUGAUUAAGAGGGACAGUCGGGGGCAUUCGUAUUUCAUUGUCAGAGGUGAAAUUCUUGGAUUUAUGAAAGACGAACUACUGCGAAAGCAUUUGCCAAGGAUGUUUUCAUUAAUCAAGAACGAAAGU